Long non-coding RNA from Loxodonta africana (African savanna elephant), 9258 nucleotides. RefSeq lists it as uncharacterized. The transcript has 2 exons. NCBI's taxonomy places the organism in Eukaryota, Metazoa, Chordata, Mammalia, Proboscidea, Elephantidae. The record is from RefSeq and is a predicted model, not a curated record.
GACCAGAACCACAAUGACUAACCGGAACCCUCACCCAAACCCUAACCCUAAACUAAAACUCUAACCCUUAACACCUUACCAUAACCAGAAUCCUAACCCUACCCAACCCGAACCCUAAACCUAACCCUCACCCAAACGACAAAGACUAACACAAACCGUGACCCUAAUCCUAACCAUAACACUAAACUUAACCCUAACCUAAAAUUUAACCCUAACCCUAAAACUAAAAAGAACCCGUAAACUUAACCCUAACCCUAAACAUAACCUUAACACUAACCUGAAACCAAACUCAAACCUUAACCAUAACCCUAAAACUAACCCUCAGCCUAUCUUAAACUUCACCCUAUCCCUAAGCUAAAGCUCACCCUAACUUUAACCUUAACCCUACCCCUAAAUCAAACCCUAAACUUAACCUUGGCCCACCUGUAGUACCCUAAACCUAACCCUUACAAUAACUCUGACCCUAACCCUCACCCUUACCCUAACCCUAACUGUAACCCUCACCCUUAACCUAAACUUCACACUAACCCUAAAUCUAAACAUAACCCUACCCCCAAACAUAACCCCUAACCCUAAUCCAAACGCUAAACCUAACCUUAACACUAACCUGAACACGAACCCAAACUCUAGCCCUAACCUUAAAAAUAACACUCACCAUAUCGUAAACUUCAUCCAAACCCUAACCCUAAAUCUAAACCUAACCCAAACCCUAAACUUAAACUUUAACCAUAACGCUAGUCCACCUGUAACCCUAAACCUAACCCUUACAAUAGCCCUGAACCUAACAAUAACCCUUACCCAAAACCCUAACCCAAAUCCUAACCCGAAGCCUAAACCGAAGGCUAACGUGAACCCAAACCCGAACCCUAAACACAAACCAUAUCACUAGCCCUAGCCCUAGGCCCUAGCCCAAGUCCUAGCCCUAGCCCUAGCCCUAACCCUAACACUAACUCGAACCCUAAAACCUAACCCUAAACAUUAACCCUAACCCUGAACACUAACCCUAACACUAACCGCUAACCCUAAACCCAAACCCUAAAAACUAACCCUAACCCUGAACACUAACCCUAACACUAACUGCUAACCCUAAACCCUAACCCUAACCCUAAACCCUAACACUAACCCUAACACUAACCAUGAACCCUAACCCUAAACUCUAACCAUCAGCCUAACCCAAAACCCUAACCCUAACCCUAAACUCUAGCCCUAAAACCCUAGCCCUAGACCUAGCCCUAACACCAAGCCCUAGCCCUAGCCCUAACCCUAACCCUAACCUCUAACCUCUAAAACUAACCCUAGCCCUAACCCUAAACCCUAAAUCCUAACCCUAAACCCAAACCCUAAACCUAACCCUGACUCUAACCCCUAACCCUGACCCAGACCCUGACCCUAAACCGUGACAAUGACCCUAAACCCUGACCAUGACCCUAACCCUGACCGUGACCCUAACCCUGACCCUAAACUCUGACCCUGACACUAAACACUGACUCUGACCCUGACCCUAAACUCUAUCACUAAACACUAAACCCUAACCCCUAGCCCUAACACAUAGCCCUAACCUUACCCCAACCCUAAUCCUAAACCCUAAACCCUAACCAUAAAAACAAACCCUAAACCUAACCCUGACCCUAACCCCUAACCCUGACCCUGACCCUGACCCUAAACCCUGACCAUAAACCCUGACCCUGACACUAAAAACUGACCCUGACCCUAAACUCGAACACUAAACCCUAAAACCUAACCUUAACCCCUAAACCCGAUCCCGAACCAUAACCCUAACACUAAACUAAACCCUAAACCCUAACCUGUGUAGGGAGUGAGGAGGUGGGAGGGACUAGGCUGGGCGCUGUGAAGGGACUCAGGAGGUGGGAGAGACCAUGCAGGGCCCUGUAUAGAGAGUGAGAGACCAGGCAGGGCACUGUAUAGGGAGUAAGAUGGUGGGACAAAAGAGACAGAAACCUGUGUAGGGAGUGAAGAGCUGAGAGACCAGACAGAGACCUUUGUAGGGAGUGAGGAGGUGGGUGAGACCAGGCAGGGCCCUGAGUAGGGAGAGAGGAGAUGGAAGAGACCAGGCAGGGACAGGUGUAGGAAGUGAGGAGGUGGGAGGGACCAGGAAGGGCCCUGUGUAAGGAGUGAGGAUGUGGAAGAGAACAGGCAGAGAACUGUGUAGGGAGUAAGGAGGUGGGACAGACCAGGCAGAGACCUUUACAGGGAUGGAGGAGGUGGGAGAGAAAAGGCGGGGCCCUGAGUAGGGAGUGAGGAGCUGGGAGCAACCAGGCACGGCCAUGUCUAGGGAGUGAGGAGGUGGGAGAGGUCAGGCAGGGACCUGUGUAGGGAGUUAGGCCUUAGGAGAGACCAGGCAGAGACCUGCAUAGGGAGUGAGGAGGUGAGAGAGACCAGGUAGGAUGCUGUGUAAAGAGUGAGGAUGUAGGAGAGACCAGGCAGGGCCCUGUGUAAGGAGUGAUGAGGUGGGAGAGACGAAGCAGGGACCUGUGUAGGGAGUGAGGAAGUGGGAGAGGCCAGGCAGAGACCUGUGUAGGGAGUGAGGAGGUGGGAGAGAAUAGGCAGAAACCUGUGUAGGGAUUGAGAAGAUGGUAGACAGCAGGCAGGGCCCUGUGUAGGGAGUGAAGAGGUGGGAGAACCAUUCAGAGACCUGCAUAGGGAGUGAGGAGAUGGGAGAGACCAGGAAGGGCCCUCCGUAGGGAGUGAGUUGGCCAGAGAUCAGGCAUGUCCCUGUAUGGAGUAAGGAUAUGGGAGAGACCAGGCAGGGCCCUGUGCAGGGAGUUAGGAGGUGGGAGAGAAGAGGCAGAGAAGAGUGUAGGGAGUGAGGAGGUGGGACAGACCAGGCAGGGCUCUGUGCAUAGAGAAGAUGGGAGACACCAGACAGGGCCCUGUGUAGGGAGUGAAGAAGAGGGAGACCCAGGCAGAGUCCUGCUUAGGGAGUGAGGAGAUGGGAGAGACCAGGCAGAGCCAAGUAUAGGGAGUGAGGAGAUGGGAGAGACCAGGCAGGCCCUGUGUAAGGAGUGAUGAGGUGGGAGAGACCAAGCAGGACCCUGUGCAGGGUGUGAGGGGGAGGGAGCAUCCAGGCAGGGCCCUGUGGAGGGAGUGAGGUGUUGGGAGAGACCACACAGGUCCUGUGUAGGGAGCGAGAAUGUGCCAGAGAUCAGGCAGGGCCCUGUGUAGAGAGUGAGGAGGUGGGAGAGAACAGACAGAGACAUAUGUAGGGAGUAAGCAGAAGGGAGACACCAGGCAGGGCCCUCUGUAGGGAGUGAGGAGGAGGGACAUACCAGGCAGGGCCCUGUGUAAGGAGUGAGGAGGUGGGAGAAUCCAGGCAGACACCUGUGUAGGGAGUGAGGAGCUGGAAGAGACCAGGCAGGGACCUGUGUAGGUCCUGAGGAGGUGGGAGAGGCCAGGCAGCGUCCUGUGUAGGGAGUGAGAAGGUGGGAGAGACCAGGCAGGGCCCUAUGUUGGGAGUGAGGAUGCAGGAGAGAAGAGGCAGAGAUGUGGGAGAGACCAGGCAAAGACCUGUGAAGGGACUGAGGAGGUGGGAGAGACCUGGCAGGGCCCAGUGUAGGGAGUGAGUAUCUUGGAGAGAAGAGGCAGAGACCUGUGUAGGGAUUGAGAAGAAGGAGAGACCAGGCCGGGCCCUGUGUAGGGAGUGAGGAGGUGGGAGAGGCCAGGCAGAGCCCUGUGUAGCGAGUGAGGUGUUAGGAGAGACCAGGCAGGGCCCUGUGUAGGGAGUGAUGAGGUGAGAGAGACCAGGUAGGACCCUGUGUACAGAGUGAGGAUGUGGAAGAGAACAGGCAAGGCUGUGUGUAGGAAGUAAGGUGGUGGAGAUACCAGUCAGGGACCUGUGUAGGGAUUGAGGAAGUGGGAGAGACCAGGCAGGACCCUGUGUAGGGAGUGAGGAGGUGAUAGAGAACAGGUAAGGCCCUGCAUACACAGUGAGGAGUUGGGAGAGACCACCCAGAUACCUGAGUAGGGAGUCAGGAUGUGGGAGAGAUCAGGCAGAGCCCUGUGUAGGAAGUGAGGUGUUAGGAGAGACCAGGCAGGGCCCUGUGUAGGGAGUGAGGAGGUGGGAGAGACCAGGCAGUGGCUUGUUUAGGGAGUGAGCAGGUGCGAGAGAACAUCAGGGCCCUGUGUAGGGAGUGAGGAGGAGGGAGAAAACAGGCUAACACCUGUGUAUGUAGUAAGGAGGUGGGAAAGACCACCCAGAGACCUGUGUAGGGAUUGAGGAAUGGGAGGGAACAGGCAGAGAACUGUGUAGGGAGUGAGGAGGUAGCAGAGACCAGGCAAGGCCCUGUGUAGGGAGCGAAGAGGUGGAGAACCAGGCAGAGUCCUGCAUAGGGAGUGAGAAGGCGAGAGAGGACAGGCAGAGCCCUGCGUAGGGAGUGAGGAGGUGGGAUUGACUAGGCAGGACCCUGGGUAGGGUGUGAGGAGGUGGGAGAUUCCAGGCAGGGCCCUUUGUAGGGAGUGAGGUGUUGGGAGAGACCAGGCAGAGUCCUGUGUAGGGAGUGAGGAUUUGGGAGAGACCAGGCAGGGCCCUGUGUAUGGCCUGAGGAGGUUAGAAAUACCAGGCAGGGCCCUGAGUAGGGAGUGAGGAAGUGGGAGAGAAGAGGCAGGGCCCUGUCUAGGGAUUGAAGAGGUGGGAGAGAACAGGCAGAGACCCUUGUAGGGAAUGGGGAGGUGGGAGAACCAUGCCGAGACCUGUGUAGGGAUGGAGAAGGUGGGAGGGACCAGUUAGGGCCCUGUGUGUGCAGUCAGGAUGUGAGAGAGAGGAGGCAGGGCCCUGUGUGAAUUGAGGAUGGGGGAGAGGCCAGGCAGGGCCCUGUUUAGGGAGUGAGGAGGUGGGAGAGAUCAUCAGGGCCCUGUAAAGGGAGUGAGGAGGUGAGAGAGGCCAGUCAGGGACCUGUGUAGGGAGUUAGGCGUUAGGAGAGACCAGGCAGGGCCCUGUGUAGGGAGUGAGGAGGUGGGAGAGACCAGGCAGAGACCUGCAUAGGGAGUGAGGAGGUGAGAGAGACCAGGUAGGAUGCUGUAUAAAGAGUGAGGAUGUAGGAGAGACUAGCCAGAGCCCUGUGUAGGGAGUAAGGAGGUGGAGAGACCAGGCAGGGUCCUGUUUAGGGAGUGAGGAGGUGGGAGAGAUCAUCAGGGCCCUGUAAAGGGAGUGAGGAGGUGGGAGAGACCACCCAGAUACCUGUGUAGGGACUGAGGAGGUGGGAGAGAAAAGACAGAGCCCUGUGUAGGGAGUGAGGAGGUGGGAGAUACCAGGCAGGGCCCUGUGUAGGGAGUGAGGAGGUGGCAGGGAGCAGUCAGAGACCUGUGUAGGGAGUGAGGAGGUGGCAGAGACCAGGCAGGGCCCUGUCUAGGGAGUGAGGAGUUGGAAGAGACCAGGCAGAGACCUGUGUACUGAGUCAGGAGGUGGGAAAGAACAGGCAGGACUGUGUUUAGCAAGUGAGGGGGUGAGAGAGAAUAGGCAGAAACUUGUGUAGGGAGUGAGAAGAUGGAAGACAGCAGGCAGGGCCCUGUGUAGGGAGUGAAGAGGUGGGAGAAACAUUCAGAGACCUGAAUAGGGAGUGAGGAGUUCAGGCAAGUCCCUUUGUAUGGAGUAAGGAUGUGGGAGAGACCAGGCAGGGCCCUGUGCAGGGAGUGAGGAGGUAGGAGAGAUCAGGCAGGGACUGGUGUAGGGAGUGAGGAGGUGGGAGAGACCAGGCAGGGCCCCGUGUAGGAAGUGAGGAAGUGGGAAAGAACAGGCAGAAAGCUGUGUAUGGAGUGAGAAGAUGGGAGACACUAGCCAGGGCCCUGUGUAGGGAGUGAAGAGGUGGGAGAACAAGGCAGGGUCCUGCAUAGAGAGUGAGGAGGUGGGAGAGGACAGGCAGAGCCCUGCUUAGGGAGUGAGGAUGUGGGAGAGACAAAGCAGGGCUCUUUGUAAGGAGUGAUGAGGUGGGAGAGACUAGGCAGGACCCUGCUAGGGGUUAUUGAUAUUGUAAGGGUUAGGUUUAGGGUUAGGGUAGGGGUAAGUUAGGGUUAAGGCUAGCUUUACUGUAAAGGGUGGGGCCAGGUUAGGGUUAGGGUUAGGUUUAGAGUUCGAGUUAGAUCUAGGGUUUAGGGUUAGGGUUAGGGUCCGGUUUAGAGUUAUUGUUAGGUUUAGGGUUAGGGUUAGGGUAGAGUUAAGGUUAGGGUUAAGUUUAGGGUUAGGGUAAGGAUUAAGUUUAGGUCAGGGUUAGGGUUAGGAUGAGUGAUAGGGUUAGGGAAAGGGUUAGGGGUUCGUGUGACGGUUAGUGUUACAUUUACAGUUAAGCUGAUGUUUUAGGGUGUUACUGCCAGGGUUAGGGUUAGAGUUAGGGUUAGGGUUAGGGCGAGAGUUAGAGGAUAGUUUAGGGUUAGGUGUAAUUUUAGGGUUAGGGUUAGGCUUAGGUUUAGGGUGAAGUUUAGGUUAAGGAUGAGGGUUAGGAUUAGGCUUUGGUGUUUAGGUUAAGGUUAGCGUUACAUUUAGGGUUAGGCUUAGUGUUAGGUUUUGCGUUAAGUGUUUGGGUUAAUGUUAGGGUCAGGUUUAAGGUUAGGUUUAGGGUUAGGGUUAGUGUUUGGUUUAGGGUUAGGGUUAGGGUGAAGUUUAAGUUAAGGGUGAGUGUUGAGCUUAGGGUUAGUGUUGGGGUUAGGGUUAGGGUUAAGGUUAGAAUUAAGUUUAGGGUUAAGGUCAGGUUUAGAGUUAGGGUAAGUGUUAGGGUUAAGUCAUAGUUAGGUUUAGGACUAGUUUUUAGUUAGAGAUAGGGUUGGGUUCAGGGUUGGGCUUAGGUUUAGAUGUUAGGGUGAGGGAUAGUGCUAGGUUUCCAUUCAAACUGAGUGUGUAGGGUAAGUUUUAGGGUUAAAGUUAGAGUUAGAGUCAGGGUUAGGUUUAAGUUUAGUGUUGGGAUUAUGUUUAUGGUUAGGGUCAGGGUUGGGGAGAUUUAGUGUUUAGGGUUACAGUGAAUUUAUGUUCUGCGAGAGGGUUAGGGUUAGGGGUUUGGGUUCGGGUUAGGGGUUUGGGUUAGAGUCAGGGUUAGGGUUAGGUUUAGGGUUAGGGUUAGGUUUAGUGUUAGUGUUAGUUUUGCUUAGGGUUAGGGUUUGAAUGAAGUUAGGGUAGGCUUAGCGUUAUGCUUAGGGUGAAAUUUUGGUUAAGGGUGAGGGUUCGGCUUAGGCUUAGGGUUAGAGUUAGGGUCAGUGGUUAGGGUUAGGUUUAGGGUUAAGGUUAGGUUUAGGCUAAGGAUUAGGGUUAGAGUUACGGUUAAGGGUUAACAUUUCAGUUAGGUUUAGGUUAGGGUUAUAAUUAGGGUUAAGUUUAGGGUUAGGGUAAGAGUGAGAGUUACAUUUACAGUUAAGAUGAGGGUUUUGGGUAAGUGUUACAGUUAAGAUUAGGGUUAGGGCUAGGGUUAGGGUUAGAGUUAGGUUUAAGAUUAUGGUAGGCUUAAAGAUAGGGUUAAGGUUAGGUUAGGGUUAGGGUCAGGGUUAGGAUUAGAAUUAGGUUUAGGGUGAGGAUUAGGGUCAGAGUUAUUGUAAGGUUUAGGUUUAGGGUUACAGGUGGGCCAAGGUUAAGGUGAGGGUUAGGUUUAGGGGUAGGGUUAGGGUUAAAGUUAGAGCGAGUUUUAGGUUAGGAAUAGGGUGAAGUUUAAGACAGGGUGAGGGUUAGGGUUAUGGCUAAGGUUUGGGCUUGUUUUCAGGUUAGUGUUAAGGUUAUGUUCAGGGUUAGGUUUAAGUUCAUGGGUUGUGUUUAGUUUUAGGGUUAGGGUUAGAUUUAAGGUUAGGGUUAAGUUUAGUGUUACGGUUAGGGUAAGGGUUACGGUUGUGUUAGGCGUUGUGGUUGGGGUGAGGGUUAGGUUUAGGGUUAGGGUUGGGUAGGGUUUGGAUUAUGGUUAUGGUAAGGUGUUAGAGUUAGAGGUGUAGUUUAGGAUUAGGUUUUGGGUGAGGGUUCCGGUUAGACCUUGUGGUUCUGGUCAUGGUUAGGUUUGGUUUAGGGUUAGGGUUAGGUUCAUGAUUAGGUUUCGGGUUAGUGUUAGAGUUAGGGUGAGAGUUAGGGUUAAGGUUUUUGCUAGGCUUUCGCUUUGGUGUUAGGGUUUGGGUUAGGGUUAGGGUUAUCAUUAGGGCUCAGGGGUUUCAGGUUAGUGUUAGGGUUAGGGUUAGGGAUAGCAUUAGGGUUAGCGUUGUGGGAUACGGUUAGGGGUUAGGGUGAGGGUUACGGUUAGUUUUACAGUUAAGGUGAGGGUUUAGGGUAAGUGUUAUGAUUAGGGUUAGAGUUAGAGUUAGGGUUAGGUUUAGGGUUAGGGUUAGGUGUAGGGUAAGAUUUAGGUUUAGGUCCAAGUUGAGGGUUAGACUUAGUGUUCUAUUUAGGGUCAAGGUUAGAGUUAGGGUUAGGGUUAGGAUUAGGUCUAGGAUUAGGAUUAAGUUUAGGGUUAGGUUCAGGGCUAUUGUAAGUGUUCGGUUUAGGGUUACAGAUGGACUAGCGUUAUUCUUAGAGUUAGGUUUAAGGUUAGGGUUUGGGUUAGGUCUAGGUUUAGGGUUAAGGUUAUGGUUAGUGUUUGGAUGAAGUUCAGGAUAGGGUGAGGGUUAUUUUUAUGGUGAGGGCUAGGGUUUGGGUUUGUGUUCAGGUUAGUGUUAAGGAUAGGUUUAGGGUUCGGUUAGGGUUAGGCGUUAUGUCUAGGGUCAGCGUUAGGUUAGGUUUAGGGUUAGUGUCAAGUUUAGGUUAAGGGUGAGGGUUAUGAUAAGGGUUAGGAUUAUAGACGGUGUUAGACGUUAGGUUUCGGGUGUUAGGGUUAGGUUUAUGGUUAGGGUAGAUUUAAGUUUAGGUUUAAUAUUAGGGUUAGGGUUAGAUUUGGGUUACUGUUCGUAUUAGGGUUAGGGUUAGGGAUAAGUUUGGGGCUAGCGUUAGGUUUAGGGUUGGGGAUACGGUUAAGGAUUAGGGUGAGGGUUAGGGUUAGGUUUACAGUUAAGGCGAGGGUUUAGGGUAAUUGUUAUGGUUAGGGUUAGAGUUAGAGUUAGGCUUAGGGUUAGGGUGAAGUUUCAGUUAGUAGUCAGGGUUAGGCUUAAGGUUAGAGUAGGGUUAAGGUUAGUGUUCGGGUUAGGUAUAGCGUUAGGGUAUGGGUAGGGGUAAGGUUAGGGUUAAGGCUAGGUUUACGGUAAAGGGUAGGGCUAGCUUAGGGUUAGAUUUAGAGUUAGAGUUAGUGCUAGGGUUUAGGAUUAUGGUUAUGGUCAGGUUUAGAGUUAUUGUUAGGGUUAGGGUAGAGUUAA